GCCCGGGCGGGGCGGCCGCGCAGGGGAACGGCUCUCUGCAUUCGGGCACAGGGAACUCGCUCUGCCCGCGCACCGUGAAACACGCGGGGAAAAAACAAAACCAAAAGCCUCCUGACAUUAGAGAAAGUGUGCAAGCAGCGUUUCCGGUAGAGCAGCAGUGCUCAGGGCUUUCUUGGAUGCGCUGUGAAGACAGAAGUGAAGCUGUGAAUCGAGGUUAAUUGAAAUGCUUACGUGAUGGUGAUGUGCCAGAUUCCCUGCUCUAAGUCUCAGGAGGAAACUUGCAGAAAUCCAGCUAUAAAACGUUCUGAUGGGUAACAUGCUAUUCCUAAACUACAAAGAACUGACUACAUGUAGGACAGCAUUGACUUAUGGGGUGAAAUAAGGAGAAAGCUGUCAAAGGACUGGGUAUGCCUGAAGCAGAAGAAAGGGGAAAUUCUUCCUCACAUUGAAGCUGUUGACCUGCACAAAGUCACCAAGUUUGUUGGGUCAGAGAGGGAGAGCAUGAGAAUCAUGGCUUUCUACUCUGGGAACCAGUGUGCUCCCUUGGGAGGUAUGUCCCCAUCCCUUACUGUCUGGACAAAAUCUAAGUGG
Molecule: long non-coding RNA, 591 nt
Organism: Lepidothrix coronata (blue-crowned manakin)
Lineage: Eukaryota; Metazoa; Chordata; Aves; Passeriformes; Pipridae
Exons: 4
Source: RefSeq, a predicted model, not a curated record